RNAcentral lists this ribosomal RNA (310 nucleotides) under Acanthodactylus boskianus (Bosk's fringe-fingered lizard). RNAcentral's name for it is "partial 12S ribosomal RNA". The record is from RNAcentral. Lineage: Eukaryota; Metazoa; Chordata; Lepidosauria; Squamata; Lacertidae.
CUUAAAACUCAAAGGACUUGGCGGUAUCCCAUUUCGGCCUAGAGGAGCCUGUCCUAUAAUCGACACUCCCCGUUCCACCCAACCUCCACUUGCACAUUCAGCCUAUAUACCGCCGUCGACAGUCUACCCCAUGAGGGCCUUUUAGUAGACACAAUAGCAACAACUCGCUAACACGUCAGGUCAAGGUGUAGCAAAUGUUGAGGAAGAGAUUGGCUACAUUUUUUAUUUCAAAACAAACGAAAUGCAACAUGAAACAUUGCACGAAGGUGAAUUUAGCAGUAAAAUGAACAAGAGAGUUCAUUUUAACACC